Molecule: long non-coding RNA, 619 nt
Filed under: Helianthus annuus (common sunflower)
Lineage: Eukaryota; Viridiplantae; Streptophyta; Magnoliopsida; Asterales; Asteraceae
Description: sRNA HanXRQr2_Chr16g0750191
Source: RNAcentral
UACGUUUUUUUGUUAAAAGUAGAUUUAAGAACCCUUCAAGAGCUUCGGCUGGAACAUAAACAAACUGGAAAGAAUUGUGUCUGGUGCAUGUCACAGAUUAUGAUUCUGCCAUGACAGGAAUGCCUGUAACUGGUCCUUUACACUACAGUUGAAGGCCCCAAGUUGGGGUUUCAAGGUUGCUGGUCCAGACAAGAAGGCUGAGGCAUGCUGUCCGUAGGCACUGGUAAAGAUCCCUAGAAAUGUUGUUGGGCUACAAGGCUGUUGUUUGAGUCCAGUAUAUGGACUUUCUAAGGCCUAAGCUCAUAAAGUUGAUAUGGACUUCGAUGUUGUGCUGUGUAUGAAGGUCCAACUAUGGGUUAAAAUUCUGCUUUUGAACCACACUAUACUCCUUAUCCAUAUUUGCAUUUGGUUGCUUUAGACAUAUUUUUGGCUAUGUCUUUAAAACAUUUUUUUGUUUAAUGUACAAGGAGAUCUAUUUAUUCGCUAAUUUACUCGCUUCUCAGUCAGUCUCUUAGAUGAUAACAAGCUAAAAGGGCCAGAAAAGCUUUACUGAGUUGGCGUCCAUGGUGGACCUAUUGUCUAAGACUCUUUUUCACUUCUUUUUUUUUUUUUUUUUUUU